GAUGAAGAACGCAGCGAAAUGCGAUAAGUAAUGUGAAUUGCAGAAUUCAGUGAAUCAUCGAAUCUUUGAACGCACAUUGCGCCCUCUGGUAUUCCGGGGGGCAUGCCUGUUCGAGCGUCAUUAUAACCCCUCAAGCUCAGCUUGGUGUUGGGGCCUGCUGCACUGGCAGCCCUUAAAAUCAGUGGCGGCGCCAUCUGGCUCUAAGCGUAGUAAUUCUUCUCGCUAUGGAGUCCUGGUGGAUGCUUGCCAUCAACCCCCAAUUUUUCUAUGGUUGACCUCGGAUCAGGUAGGGAUACCCGCUGAACUUAAGCAUAUCAAUAAGCGGAGGA
RNAcentral lists this unclassified non-coding RNA (329 nucleotides) under soil metagenome. Its description in RNAcentral is "partial contains 5.8S ribosomal RNA, internal transcribed spacer 2, and large subunit ribosomal RNA". The stretch from base 1 to 120 matches the Rfam family "5.8S ribosomal RNA", at positions 35 to 154 of the family's 154-position model. The record is from RNAcentral.